Molecule: small RNA, 29 nt
Filed under: Bombyx mori (domestic silkworm)
Lineage: Eukaryota; Metazoa; Arthropoda; Insecta; Lepidoptera; Bombycidae
Description: ovarian small RNA-28160
Source: RNAcentral
UCGAACUCGACGGUAGGCCGAUUCGGAGA